RNAcentral lists this non-coding RNA (30 nucleotides) under Mus musculus (house mouse). The record is from RNAcentral. Lineage: Eukaryota; Metazoa; Chordata; Mammalia; Rodentia; Muridae.
UCUCAAGGUAUGAGACUAACCUGUGCUAAA